This 263-nucleotide ribosomal RNA is filed under the name uncultured bacterium. RNAcentral describes it as "partial 16S ribosomal RNA". It matches the Rfam family "Bacterial small subunit ribosomal RNA", at positions 793 to 1055 of the family's 1533-position model. The record is from RNAcentral.
GUCCACGCUGUAAACGAUGAUUACUAGCUGCUGGGAGUUUUAAACUAUCAGUAGCGCAGCUAACGCGAUAAGUAAUCCGCCUGGGGAGUACGGCCGCAAGGUUAAAACUCAAAGAAAUUGACGGGGGCCCGCACAAGCGGUGGAGCAUGUGGUUUAAUUCGAUGCAACGCGAAGAACCUUACCUACCCUUGACAUACAGAGAAUCUUGCAGAGAUGUAGGAGUGCCGAAAGGAGCUCUGAUACAGGUGCUGCAUGGCUGUCGU